CUACGGGGGGUGCAAGCGUUAAUCGGAAUUACUGGGCGUAAAGCGUACGUAGGCGGUUAGUUAAGUUAGAUGUGAAAGCCCCGGGCUUAACCUGGGAACUGCAUUUAAAACUGGCUAACUAGAGUUAAGUAGAGGGGAGUGGAAUUUCAGGUGUAGCGGUGAAAUGCGUAGAGAUCUGAAGGAACACCAGUGGCGAAGGCGACUCCCUGGACUUGAACUGACGCUGAGGUACGAAAGCGUGGGUAGCAAACGGGAUUAGAAACCCUUGUAGUCC
RNAcentral lists this ribosomal RNA (274 nucleotides) under uncultured bacterium. RNAcentral describes it as "partial 16S ribosomal RNA". It matches the Rfam family "Bacterial small subunit ribosomal RNA", at positions 523 to 796 of the family's 1533-position model. The record is from RNAcentral.